ACGCCCGUCGCAGCGAAGCGAGACGGGCGCCUUCUAAGCGCUUGGCCGCAGGUUCGAGUCCUGCCGGGGGCG
Molecule: transfer RNA, 72 nt
Filed under: Streptomyces sp. WAC06614
Lineage: Bacteria; Bacillati; Actinomycetota; Actinomycetes; Kitasatosporales; Streptomycetaceae
Rfam family: tRNA
About the family: Transfer RNA (tRNA) molecules are approximately 80 nucleotides in length. Their secondary structure includes four short double-helical elements and three loops (D, anti-codon, and T loops).
Source: Rfam by way of RNAcentral